GACGAACGCUGGCGGCGUGCCUAAUACAUGCAAGUUGAGCGCUGAAGGUUGGUACUUGUACCAACUGGAUGAGCAGCGAACGGGUGAGUAACGCGUGGGGAAUCUGCCUUUGAGCGGGGGACAACAUUUGGAAACGAAUGCUAAUACCGCAUAAAAACUUUAAACACAAGUUUUAAGUUUGAAAGAUGCAAUUGCAUCACUCAAAGAUGAUCCCGCGUUGUAUUAGCUAGUUGGUGAGGUAAAGGCUCACCAAGGCGAUGAUACAUAGCCGACCUGAGAGGGUGAUCGGCCACAUUGGGACUGAGACACGGCCCAAACUCCUACGGGAGGCAGCAGUAGGGAAUCUUCGGCAAUGGACGAAAGUCUGACCGAGCAACGCCGCGUGAGUGAAGAAGGUUUUCGGAUCGUAAAACUCGGUUGGUAGAGAAGAACGUUGGUGAGAGUGGAAAGCUCAUCAAGUGACGGUAACUACCCAGAAAGGGACGGCUAACAACGUG
RNAcentral lists this ribosomal RNA (497 nucleotides) under uncultured bacterium. Its description in RNAcentral is "partial 16S ribosomal RNA". It matches the Rfam family "Bacterial small subunit ribosomal RNA", at positions 28 to 507 of the family's 1533-position model. The record is from RNAcentral.